GAUAUGCUUUGGGGAGCUGUAAGUAAGCUUUGAUCCAGAGAUUUCCGAAUGGGGAAACCCAGCAUGAGUUAUGUCAUGUUAUCGAUAUGUGAAUACAUAGCAUAUCAGAAGGCACACCCGGAGAACUGAAACAUCUUAGUACCCGGAGGAAGAGAAAGAAAAUUCGAUUCCCUUAGUAGCGGCGAGCGAAACGGGAAGAGCCCAAACCAACAAGCUUGCUUGUUGGGGUUGUAGGACACUCUAUACGGAGUUACAAAGGACGACAUUAGACGAAUCAUCUGGAAAGAUGAAUCAAAGAAGGUAAUAAUCCUGUAGUCGAAAAUGUUGUCUCUCUUGAGUGGAUCCUGAGUACGACGGAGCACGUGAAAUUCCGUCGGAAUCUGGGAGGACCAUCUCCUAAGGCUAAAUACUCUCUAGUGACCGAUAGUGAACCAGUACCGUGAGGGAAAGGUGAAAAGCACCCCGGAAGGGGAGUGAAAUAGAACCUGAAACCGUGUGCUUACAAGUAGUCAGAGCCCGUUAAUGGGUGAUGGCGUGCCUUUUGUAGAAUGAACCGGCGAGUUACGAUUUGAUGCAAGGUUAAGCAGUAAAUGUGGAGCCGUAGCGAAAGCGAGUCUGAAUAGGGCGUUUAGUA
RNAcentral lists this ribosomal RNA (634 nucleotides) under Staphylococcus aureus. RNAcentral's name for it is "partial 23S ribosomal RNA". It matches the Rfam family "Bacterial large subunit ribosomal RNA", at positions 70 to 701 of the family's 2925-position model. Lineage: Bacteria; Bacillati; Bacillota; Bacilli; Caryophanales; Staphylococcaceae. The record is from RNAcentral.